GUUGGCGAUGAUUUGAACCA
This 20-nucleotide microRNA is filed under the name Helianthus annuus (common sunflower). The record is from RNAcentral. Lineage: Eukaryota; Viridiplantae; Streptophyta; Magnoliopsida; Asterales; Asteraceae.